AUGUUUGGAGUGCGUAAAAAAUUCGAUAAAUAUUUUUAUCAAACAGUAUUUAUUUAAUCCAAAAUGUAUUUAUCCGCAAAUAUUACCGACGACCGUAAAAAAGCUGAACAAAUAAUGUGUAAUAAUGUAUCGGUUGUUGUCAUUUUGUCACUAUAGUAUCAGUUUAAUUUUCUAUAUUUUUAUUUUAGAUUCUGAGUGGGACG
This is a non-coding RNA of Cinara cedri, 203 nucleotides long. The record is from the annotation of a GenBank genome assembly. Lineage: Eukaryota; Metazoa; Arthropoda; Insecta; Hemiptera; Aphididae.